Molecule: transfer RNA, 81 nt
Filed under: Anaerolineae bacterium
Lineage: Bacteria; Bacillati; Chloroflexota; Anaerolineae
Also listed under: 1 other name
Description: tRNA-Arg
Source: RNAcentral
GCCCCAGAUGAACUCCAUGGAAACACAAAUAUCGAACUUCUAAUCCGACGGUUGUGCGUUCGAAUCGCACCAGGGGCGCCA